RNAcentral lists this long non-coding RNA (444 nucleotides) under Panax ginseng (ginseng). Its description in RNAcentral is "long non-coding RNA (PGIN_LNC004373)". The record is from RNAcentral. Lineage: Eukaryota; Viridiplantae; Streptophyta; Magnoliopsida; Apiales; Araliaceae.
UUCAACGGCACCAUGAGAGAGUACCCGCUUUAUAGUGAAUGGUCCCGACCAUCUCGACUUGAGCUUUCUUGGGAACAAUCACAACCGUGAGUUGAAUAAAAGGACUGAUUGACCUGGCUCGAAUAUUCGAUGUAUAAUUUUCUGGUCGUGCCAUCUUUUUACCUUUUCUUUGUAUAAUUUGGAUUUCUCGUAGGCGUGGAGGUGAAAUUCGUCGAGCACAUUCAGUUAAAGUAGUCUAUUUUCUCCUACAGCUGCUUGAUCGAAAUUUAGUUUUUGAAACGCCCAAUAAGCCUUAUGUUGUAGUUUGACUGGUAAUUGACAUGCCUUUCUGUACAGUAGUUGAUAUGGUGACAUCUCGAUUUGUGUCUUGUACGCAGUCCGGUAUGCCCAUAAUGCAUCGUCCAACCGAAGUGACUAAUCCUUACGAUUUGGAUUCACCACUUU